GAAUCUUUCGCAAUGGGCGAAAGCCUGACGAAGCGACGCCGUGUGAGCGAAGAAGGCCUUCGGGUUGUAAAGCUCUUUCGCUAGGGAACAAGGGAAUAUGGUUAAUAACCAUGUGACUUGAUGGUACUUGGUAAAGAAGCACCGGCUAACUCCGUGCCAGCAGCUGCGGUAAUACGGAGGGUGCAAGCAUUGAUCGGAAUUACUGGGCGUAAAGGGCGCGUAGGCGGCUCUAAAAGUCGAUUGUGAAAUUCCAGGGCUCAACCCUGGAGCUGCAAAUGAAACUUUAGAGCUAAGAGGAGAGCAAGGGAAAACAGAAUUCCACGUGUAGCGGUGAAAUGCGUAGAUAUGUGGAAGAAUACCGGUGGUGAAGACGGUUUUCUGAGCUUAAUCCAGACGCUGAGGCGCGAAAGCUAGGGGAGCAAAC
Molecule: ribosomal RNA, 424 nt
Filed under: uncultured bacterium
Lineage: Bacteria
Description: bacterial SSU rRNA
Rfam family: Bacterial small subunit ribosomal RNA
Source: RNAcentral